GACGAACGCUGGCGGCGUGCCUAACACAUGCAAGUCGAGCGAGGAAUGACAGGUAGCUUGCUACCGGUUAUUUCUAGCGGCGGACGGGUGAGUAACGCGUGAGCAACCUGCCUUUAUCAGGGGGAUAACGCAUCGAAAGAUGUGCUAAUACCGCGUAAGACCACAGCUUCACAUGGAGCAGGGGUCAAAGGAGCAAUCCGGAUAAAGAUGGGCUCGCGUCCGAUUAGCUAGUUGGUGAGAUAACAGCCCACCAAGGCGACGAUCGGUAGCCGACCUGAGAGGGUGAUCGGCCACAUUGGAACUGAGAUACGGUCCAGACUCCUACGGGAGGCAGCAGUGGGGAAUAUUGCACAAUGGGCGCAAGCCUGAUGCAGCAACGCCGCGUGAGGGAUGACGGCCUUCGGGUUGUAAACCUCUUUUAGUAGGGAAGAAGCGAAAGUGACGGUACCUGCAGAAAAAGCACCGGCUAACUACGUGCCAGCCGCCGCUGUAA
RNAcentral lists this ribosomal RNA (493 nucleotides) under uncultured bacterium. Its description in RNAcentral is "partial 16S ribosomal RNA". It matches the Rfam family "Bacterial small subunit ribosomal RNA", at positions 28 to 523 of the family's 1533-position model. The record is from RNAcentral.